AAGCUCUCAAAUAUCUUCAUCAACAUCAAGCCAGUGGUGGUGAGCAUGCAACGGUUCGCAAGUAUAUUUCAAAUCGAUUUCUGAAGACAAUGCCGAAAGUUGAAAUGCCCACCUUUACUGGAGACAACCCGCAAGGAUGGAUUGCGCAGAUGGAACGAUAUUUCGAAGCCUAUGGUACUUGCGAUGAAAUGAAGAUCUACAAAUGUUGGGUCAGUAUGGAGGGACCUUCCCUCCACUGAUUUCGCAAGUUACGGCGAAGACAUCCUCUUGUCACUUGGGACUAAUUCACGUCAGAGUUGUUGCAACAAUAUGGAAUGGAAGUCGUCGAAACUCCUACACAUCUCGCUGUUGUUGCUCAGACAGGUCCGAUGACUAAAUAUGGUGAAGAUUGCGUCUCCUCAGUAGCACAGAUGGAUUGCGAACCCCAAAUUGGGGCAUGCAAAAAAGAGGUGUAUGUAGCUUCGAUGAUAGCGAUUUCAGAUUUGCGCUGUCAUGGAUACUAUUUUGAUGGCUUCCAAGAAGAUAUAAGGGUGAGGAUGGAGGCGGCAACAAAAAUAGAGAGAAUGAUUGCAAUCAGGACAGAGCAUUUUCAAGUUGUCUUUCCA
RNAcentral lists this unclassified non-coding RNA (605 nucleotides) under Hevea brasiliensis (rubber tree). The record is from RNAcentral. Lineage: Eukaryota; Viridiplantae; Streptophyta; Magnoliopsida; Malpighiales; Euphorbiaceae.